CAAACCAAAAAAAAAAACCCCAUUACUUGAAAUAUUUUCCCCAUCCAAAUGUACUGUCUGAGAACGGUAAUUAUUCCCCACAAGAAAAAGCUCAAUAAAACAUUAAAAGGGAUUCAUUAAGAAAAGAAAAUAAUAUUUGAGUACGUGUUGUCUUACAGUAUACAUAAGACAGGGUUCUAUAUGUUGGACUCAGCUGCAAAUUAUACAGAAAGAUAUUUUAAAACAAGGUGCAAUGUAUAUUAUUUAUAAUGGUUGCCAUUAAGAAAUGACUGUUUAUAAGUGCUGACUGCAUUAGCAUGUAUAUUCAAAAAAGCCUAAUGUUCCAUUUAAAAAAAAUUUGAUCUAGCAAUCACACUCUUCAGCAUUUUUCCCACAGAAAUGAAAACUUAGGUCCACAGAAAAACCCGUACACAAAUGUUCAUAGCAACACUAUUUGUAAAAACAAAAUAACCCAAAUGUCCUUCAAUGGACAAAUGGCUAGGCUGUGGUAUACCUGCAUCAUGGAAUACUACUCAGCAGUAAAAAGUAACAAACUGCUGAUACUCAGGACUCAAUGCAUACUCAAUACUCAAUGGAUCUCAAGGGCAUUAUGCUGAGUGAAAAAAGCCAAUCUCAAAAGGUUACAGAUUGCAUGAUUCCAUUUAUAUAGUAUUCUCAAAAUGAGAUCAGAUUAGUGGCUACCAGCAGUUAGGGGCUUGCUAUAAAGGGGUAGCAAAGGGAAAGCCUUGGGGUGAUGAAUCGAUCCUGUAUUUUUUUUCUUCUUGAGACAGGGUCUCCCUCUGCUGCCCAGGCUACAGUACAAUGGCACCAUCAUCGCUCACUGCAGCCUCAACCUCCUGGGCUCAAGUGAUGCUCCCACCUCAGCCUCCUGAGUAGCUGGGACUACAGAUGCAUGCCAUCACACCUGGCUGAUUUUUGUACUUUUUGUAGAGAUGGGGUUUUGCCAUGUUGCCCAGACUGGUCUCAAACUCCUGGGCUCAAGCGAUCCUCCUGCCUCAGCCUCCCAAAAGGCUGGGAUUACAGGUGUGAACCACUAUGCCCAGCCAAUUCUGUAUCUUGAUUGUGGUAGUGGUAACACAAAUCUACACGUGAUCAAAUUGUACAGAACUAUGGACACGCUUCACCAAUGAGUGCAUGUAAAACAGGGAAAUCUGGGAAUAAGCUCUGUGGGUGACUCAGAUUUAUGGCAAUUUUCUGGGUUUUUGGGGAAAACUGAGUAGAGGGUAAACAGGACCUCUCCGUACUACUUUUUUAACUUCCUGUGAGUCUGUAAUCAUUUAAAAACAAAAAGUUUUUUAAAAGUUUGUGAAGAGGGUUGCCCAUUUAGGAGACAUAAACCAUUUUUCCUAACCUAAGUGAAGGUACAAGCACGUAAAGGGGAAAGAUGCAAAUGGAUGGCUAGAGAGGAGAAGACUGCCAGAAUAAUAGUGAGCAAGCAGUUAUCACGUCCCAGGUACUAGAGCCUAUCUCAUUUAACUCAACAGACAAUCCAAUGAGGUGGCUGCUGAUAAAUAUCCUUACUUUUCAGAUGAGGACACCGAAGGAUGGAGAAGACAAGAAAUUCAUUCAACUUCAGCUGGUAAAUAGCCAAGGUGUCAAAGUUAAGAAAAGUAAUACAAUUUCAAAGCAAAAAGGGUUAAGAAAAAGCACUACUGGCCAGGCAUGGUGGCUCACGCCUGUAAUCCUACCACUUUGGGGGGCCGAGGCGGGUGGAUCACCUUAGGUCAGGAGUUCAAGACCAGCCUGGCCAACAUGGUGAAACCCUGUCUCCACUAAAAAUACAAAAACCAGCUGAGUGUGGCAGCAGGUGCCUGUAAUCCCAGCUACUUGGGAGGCUGAGGCAGGAGAAUCACUUGAACCCGGGAGGCGGAGGAUGCGGUGAGCCGAGAUUGUGCCAUUGCACUCCAGCCUGGGCAACAACAGCGAAACUCUGUCUCAAAAAACUAAAUAAAUAAAUAAAAUAAAUAAAUAAAUAAAUUGCAUAUUUUAACAGUAUGUGAACAAACAGAGGCUAUUAUAGCAUAAAUUCAAUGCAAGUAAAUGGGUAUUUAAAAGGAAAUUUGCUGUUCUGGUUAUAAAGUUUUUGAGACAGGGCUAGUAUCUCACUUAAUUUUAAAGAUCAAGUGAAACCCCAAGAAAAGACAAUAUUUAAAACAUCAAGAGUAUUAAUCAUCCUUUUAAGUCAUCAACAGUCAAGUAAUCCACUUAAUGUGCUGCUUGAAGAAAAUAGAAUAAGCACUGUCCAUUCUGCCUUUAGGUUCAUCUCUGAUAUCAGGGGUAUUCUUUCCUCUGAAGUCAUCUUCUUAAAAACAAAUGCAAAAUCAACAUGUUGGUUUUCUUAGAAGCUUUGUAAAGUCCCAAUGCAGGAAAUUACACGUAAGAAUGUUACUUGACCUUCAGAAAUCCCUCACAGAAGAUCUGAGUGGAACAGCUCCACCACCACAUUCCCAUCCGUGGCUUCGGCUAGUGGCGAAAUCUGAAAAAUAAUUCUUCUUGUGAUAUGUCCUUGGAAUUUCUUCCUCACGUACAAAGCUUAAGAGUUAAUUAAGGUAAAAAAGCAACAAUAUAUAGUUAGAGAUCGGCCAUACAGUCAUUAUCAAUCUUUCGGCCUCGAAGAACUCAAAUAGGAGAUUAUUUCUUCCAACUAAGACCCUCAGACAGCAGAUUUUGAUAAAAGCUGUAACCCAGGCCAUUCUGCUGGUGGACAGAAUCUCUCCCUAAUUGCUGGGAGAGUAUACCAAGGAACUGUAUUUUCACUAAAGCCACAUUUUAAUUCAUGAUAAACACAACUUCUGGAAAUUUUUACAACUAAAUAUUCUUAAAUAGAAAGGCUUUUAAGAUAUGAAAAUGGUAUUAUGGUUAUGCUUUGAAAAAAGUUUUUUCCUUUUGAAUAUACUGAAAUAUUUAUAGUGAUUUAAUAUGUGGGAUUUACUUCAAAAUAACAUGGUGGUGGGGGGAGUGGGUAGAAGUUUUAACACGAUUGGCCACAAAUUUAUAAAGCUGGGUGGUGGGGACAUGAUUAAUUACACUAUUUUGUCUUCUUUAAGCUUAAAAAUUUCCAACAUAAAAAAUUGUGCAUAUCCUUGCAUGAGAUAUAAAAUAUACCCAUGCAGGCUGGGCGCUGUGGCUCACCCCUGUAAUCCCAGCAUUUUAGGAGGCCGAGUCGGGCAGAUCACAAGGUCAGGAGUUCGAGACCAGCCUUGCCAACAUGGUGAAACCCUGUCUCUACUAAAAACACAAAAAUGAGCCAGUUGUGGUGGCGAGCGCCUGUAAUCCCAGCUACUUGGGAGGCUGAGGCAGGAGAAUCGCUUGAACCCGGGAGGCAGAGGUUACAGUGAGCCAAGACUGUGCCAUUGCACUCCAGCUUAAGCAACAAGAGCAAAACUCCAUCUCAAAUAAAUAAAUAAAUAAAUAAAUAAAAAUAAAAAUAAAAUAUACCCAUGUAACAAGAAAUUCUGAGACUGAGGCAGAAAUCCAGAUUCUUAAAUGCUUUUGCUACUGCAUAAUCCCAGGCAAAUCAUCUCACCUAAUAAAAAGUUUCCUAUUUCUAAAAUCCACUGCUAAAGCAUGAUGAUUUCUAAGGUUGCUUCCAGGUCUAAUAUUUUUACUCUGAGAAUGCUGUUUUGUUUUUUUCUGAAUUGAGUUUUAGUUCAUCUUUUGUUAGCUGUCUACAGUAGCUGACUCUAUAUUGAAAAGGCACAGGUGUCUCAGACAAGUGUGAUCUCAAAGCAGCUCUUUAGGACUGCUGGUGCCACACCCACCAUCAUCCCUCACUAAAGGAAAUACAGAAAAAGGAAGGGAGGCAACUCUGGUGACAGAUACACCUCUAUUUUUCGUGAGAAUGCUCACGCCUCUGAAAUCUGCUUACGUAUUAUUAAGAGUCACAUAUCACAUGAAAUGUAAAAUGGCUGGGCACGGUGGCUCACCCCUGUAAUCCCAGCACUUUGGGAGACCGAGGUGGGUGGAUCACUUGAGGUUGGGAGUUUGAGACCAGCCUGACCAACAUGGUGAAACCCCGUCUGUACCACAAAUACAAAAAUUAGCUGGGCAUGGUGGAGAGCACCUGUAAUCCCAGCUACUCAAGAGGCUGAGGCAGGAGAAUUGCUCACACCUGGGAGGUGGAGGUUGCGAUGAGCUGAGAUCGCACCACUGCACUCCAGCCUGGGCAACAGAGCAAGACUCUGUCUCAAAAAAAAAAAAAAAAAAAAAAAAGAAAGUAAAAUGGGCAGACCUUUCUGAAUACAUGAUCGACAAUUUUCAUAAAUGUCUUCUGAAGACUGCUUAUCACAGUAUUGUUUACAACUGAUUUGAUACCUCAAUUGCCAUCAAUAAGGGAUUGGUUAAAUUAUAGUAGAGUACAUUCUUACAAUGGAAUACCAUGCAGAUAUUUAAAAAAUUAAGAUAUAAACCCACGAUGAUAGGGAUAUGGCAAGGGGGCACAGGAACCAACUGAAAUAGCUCCCAACGACAAAAGCUAGAACAAUCUGAGCAAUAAAUAAAGUAGCAUUGGAUUAUAACCCAGGGUAUAUUCAUGAGUAUAUACAGAUAUAAAUGUUGAAUAAAGAAAUGGAGGAGAUAGAUACAGCUCCUGUACAGAACUCCAAAUCAUCUACAUAGAUAUUCUGCCCUCAAGGAGGUAGGCAUAACUUCCCACUCCUGAAGCGUGGGCUGCCUUCCCAAGAGGGAAGCACAGAAACAGGUAAGAAGGAGGAACUCUGCAGUGGUGAAGCUGGGCAAACACGACCCCAGCAGAGUGACUAAGGUCAACAUCAACACUGAUGAGUCAUGUUGACUGUAUAUACCUCUGAAAUGAUGUGAUGAAAAUGGCCUGCUGCCUCUGUGAUCUCCCUCCCUGAAACUCCUAACCCCAGCAUAACCAUGAGAAAAACAACAGACGAAUCUCAACUGAGCAACAUUCUACAAAAUAUCUGACUGGUGAACUGAAAACUGUCAAGGUCAUUUAAAAAAAAAAAAAGAAGUCUUAGAAACAUCACAGCCGGCUGGGUGUGGUGGCUCACGCCUGUAAUCCCAGGACUUUGGGAGGCCAAGGUGGGCGGAUCACUAGGUCAGGAGAUCGAGACCCUCCUGGCUAACACAGUGAAACCCCGUCUCUACUAAAAAUACAAAAAAUUAGCUGGGUGUGGUGGUGGGCACCUGUAGUCUCAGCUACUCGGGAGGCUGAGCCAGGAGAAUGGCGUGAACCCAGGAGGCAGAGGUUGCAGUGAGCCGAGAUCGCGCCACUGCACCCCAGCCUGGGCGACAGAGAGAGACUCUGUCUCAAAAAAAAAAAAAGAAACUGUCACAGCCAAUGACUGAAAUCUGAAUAAAGUAUGAAAUUUUGGUAAUAAUAAUAAUAAUGUAUUGAUAUUGGUUCAUUAAUUUUAGCAAAUGUAUGACAUGAAUGUAAAAUGUUAAUAGGAGAAACUGGCAACAGGUGCACUGGCUUCCACCUGUAGUCUCAGCACUUUGAGGGGUCACGGUGGGUGGAUCACUUAAGUCCAGGAGUUUGAGAACUGCCUGAGCAACAUAGCAGGACCCCGCCUUUACAAAAAAAUAGAAAAAUUUGCCAUGCAUGGUGGCGUGCGCCUAUAGUACCAGCUACUUGGGAGGCUGAGGUGGAAGGACUGCUUGAGCCUGAGAAUCGAGGCUGCAGUGAGCUGAGUUCGUACCACUGCACUCCAGCCUGAGUAACAGAGUAAGAGCCUGUCUCAAAAAAAAAAAAAAAAAGUGGGCCGGGUGUGGUGGCUCGCGCCUGUAACCCCAGCACUUUGGGAGGCGGAGGCGGGCAGAUCACCAGGUCAGGAGUGCGAGACCAGGCUUACCAACAUGGUGAAACCCCGUCUCUACUAAAAAUACAAAAAUUAGCCGGGUGUGGUGGGGUAUGCCUGUAAUCUCAGCUACUGGGGAGGCUGAGCUUGCGGUGAGCCAAGAUCGCACCAUUGCACUCCAGCCUGGGCGACAGAGCAAGCCUCCAUUUCAAAAUUAAGGAAAAAAAAAAAAGAAACUAGAUGUGGAGUAUACAGGAGCUCUAUUAAUCUUUGCAACUUUUCUAUAAAUCUAAAACUUUUCUUAAAAACAGUUCAUUUUUAAAAAUGGGGAAAAGGCCGGAUGCAGUGGCUCACACCUGUAACCCUAGCACUUUGGGGGGCUGAGGAGGGCGGAUCACCUGAGGUUGGGAGUUCAAGACCAACAUGGAGAAACCCCAUAUCUACUAAAAAUACAAAAUUAGCCAGGCGUGGUGGCGCAUGCCUGUAGUCCCAGCUACUCGGGAGGCUGAAACAGGAGAAUCGCUUAAACCCAGGAGGUGGAGGCUGCGGUGAGCCGAGAUCGCGCCACUGCACUCCAGCUUGGGCAACAAGAGCGAAACUCCGUCUCAAAAAAAAUAAAUAAAUAAAGGAAAAAAUUUUGAAUGAAGAUAUAAAUGUAUAAUGACAUAGAAUAAUGGCCAAAAUAUAAUAAAUGAAAUUAGAAUUAAAAACAACAUGCCUAUUAUAAAUCUAUUUGUAUUUUAAAAACAUGUGUAUGUGUCUAUACACCAAAAAGUCAGCGAAACUAUACAUCAAAAUGUUAACCUCUGGGUGGUAGAACUACUAGUCAUUUUCACUGCUCUCUUCUUUAUACCUUUCUGUAUUACCUGAUUUUCUAUUACCACUAAGCACUGAUUGCUCUUAACACUGAACCUCAUUACUUCUACAACCAGGAACAAAGAUAUGUUAUUUUGGAAAAGGUGUAUACCACAGGAUAUUGAUAGAGUACUCCUUAGCUCAAAAGAAUGUGCAUUUAUAUGACAGGGCGCGGUGGCUCACACCUGUAAUCCCAGAACUUUGGGAGGCCGAGGCAGGCAGAUCACGAGGUCAGGAGAUCGAGACCAUCCUGGCUAACACGGUGAAACCCCGUCUCUACUAAAAGUACAAAAAAGUUAGCCGGGCGUAGUGGUGGGCACCUUUAGUCCCAGCUACGCAGGAGGCUGAGGCAGGACAAUGGCGUGAACCCGGGAAGGAGAACUUGCAUUGAGCAGAGAUAAUGCCACUGCACUCCAGCCUGGGCGACAAAGCGAGACUCCAUCUCAAAAAAAAAAAGAAAAGAAAAAAGAAUAUGCAUUUAUAAAACAGCCAAAUUUUACUUUUUCAAGGGGAAAUAUUUGAAAAGGCAGUACAGAAAAGUGGUUGAAAGCACAGGAUUUAAUCAGACUUAGAUUAAAAUCCUGGCUUAAUCAUUUACUUUCUGCACGAUCUUGGGUAAUUCCAUCAUAUCCUGCCUCAAUGUCCUAUUUUAUUUUUUUAAUUUUUUUUGAGAUGGAGUUUCGCUCAUUGCCCAGGCUG
This 7322-nucleotide long non-coding RNA is filed under the name Homo sapiens (human). RNAcentral describes it as "HSALNT0346401". The record is from RNAcentral. Lineage: Eukaryota; Metazoa; Chordata; Mammalia; Primates; Hominidae.